UUUAGAUCUUUGAGUUCAGCUCAUGAAAAAUGGGGGCAAAAACAAAAGUGUUGUGUUUAUAAUUUUUUUACCUGCUCCCCAUUUUUUCCCCCUUAUUGGUUACUAGCUAAACUCCAAAAACACAAAGCAAACAAACAUGACUGUCCAUUGUUUGCUUGGCUAUAUGUCCAUAAGGCGCUUAAGAGAUACAGAAUGCAGCCAAAAUUCGGACAAAUUGCAAUUUGGCCAAAAUUGAAUGCACAAGUCUAAUGUGCAUUCACUGGCUGAGUGUACCAGCUGAAUAACUUCAAUAAACUGACAUCUGGCUUCACUAUAGUACAGGCAUCCAGCAAGACCCAGAUAAGUGCCAAACCAUGCUAAAGCGGUUUGAUAGCUGUAAUAUACCUUUUAUUGCAAACUUUUUUGGCUUUAACCAAAAAACUUGUAAAAUGCAAAUCAUAU
This is a non-coding RNA of Pelobates cultripes (western spadefoot toad), 441 nucleotides long. The record is from the annotation of a GenBank genome assembly. Lineage: Eukaryota; Metazoa; Chordata; Amphibia; Anura; Pelobatidae.